This 252-nucleotide ribosomal RNA is filed under the name uncultured archaeon. RNAcentral describes it as "partial 16S ribosomal RNA". It matches the Rfam family "Archaeal small subunit ribosomal RNA", at positions 729 to 982 of the family's 1478-position model. The record is from RNAcentral.
UUAGAUACCCCGGUAGUCCCAGCCGUAAACUAUGCUCGCUAGGUGUCAGGCAUGGCGCGACCGUGUCUGGUGCCGCAGGGAAGCCGUGAAGCGAGCCACCUGGGAAGUACGGCCGCAAGGCUGAAACUUAAAGGAAUUGCGGGGAGCACCACAACAGGUGGAGCCUGCGGUUUAAUUGGACUCAACGCCGGGAAGCUCACCGGAUAAGACAGCGGAAUGAUUGCCGGGCUGAAGACUCUGCAUGACUAGCUG